UGGGGAAUAUCGCGCAAUGGGCGAAAGCCUGACGCAGCGACGCCGCGUGAGGGAUGAAGGUUUUCGGAUCGUAAACCUCUGUCAGAAGGGAAGAAACCGCACUGUGCUAAUCAGCAGUGCCUUGACGGUACCUUCAAAGGAAGCACCGGCUAACUCCGUGCCAGCAGCCGCGGUAAUACGGAGGGUGCAAGCGUUAAUCGGAAUUACUGGGCGUAAAGCGCACGUAGGCUGCUUUGUAAGUCAGGGGUGAAAUCCCACGGCUCAACCGUGGAACUGCCUUUGAUACUGCUUAGCUUGAAUCCGGGAGAGGGUGGCGGAAUUCCAGGUGUAGGAGUGAAAUCCGUAGAUAUCUGGAGGAACAUCAGUGGCGAAGGCGGCCACCUGGACCGGUAUUGACGCUGAGGUGCGAAAGCGUGGGGAGCAAACAGG
RNAcentral lists this ribosomal RNA (429 nucleotides) under Fusobacteriota bacterium. Its description in RNAcentral is "Fusobacteria bacterium partial 16S ribosomal RNA". It matches the Rfam family "Bacterial small subunit ribosomal RNA", at positions 355 to 776 of the family's 1533-position model. The record is from RNAcentral. Lineage: Bacteria; Fusobacteriati; Fusobacteriota.